UAGUCUAACUGAGAUAUUUCAGUCUAAGAGAGAGAAAGUUGGGCAGCUGUUGACAGCUUUCACAACAAAUCAAGUGAUUCAUUUUACUCCCCAACAGACUAAAGAGCCAACUGAUACUAGGUCUCUGGUGCUCAGAGGACUCCCUAUCGUCAUUGGUGACAAACCUACAGAUUUCUACAAAGUAUGCUUUGACUCUGAUGACGAUUACUGAUGACAUUGGAAUCCUCCUCAUUGAGCAUGAAGGUGACAUGCUCUCAUCUUCUCUCCAUCUCAAUCCGACCUCAU
Long non-coding RNA from Sinocyclocheilus rhinocerous, 285 nucleotides. RefSeq lists it as uncharacterized. The transcript has 3 exons. Lineage: Eukaryota; Metazoa; Chordata; Actinopteri; Cypriniformes; Cyprinidae. The record is from RefSeq and is a predicted model, not a curated record.